RNAcentral lists this long non-coding RNA (248 nucleotides) under Elaeis guineensis (African oil palm). RNAcentral's name for it is "long non-coding RNA (EGUI_LNC021957)". The record is from RNAcentral. Lineage: Eukaryota; Viridiplantae; Streptophyta; Magnoliopsida; Arecales; Arecaceae.
GGCUAGGGCUUUUCUUCUCUAUCAUGCCUCCUCCUCCUCCCACCUUCUCUUGGUCAAAGAUGCUGGCUCCAAUAGGUAAGCGUGAUUAAUUAUUUUGAUUUCAAAUGAAAAAAAAAUGCCCAAGACUCAGUUUGAAAAUCGAAAGCUUGAUAUCUAGUGGGUUCGGGCCUAAAAAAGAGGUCCGAAGGCUCGGCUAAGCUAGGCUCGAGCCUAGAAACUUCUAUCUGUCCUUGAGUUGAGCUCGGCCC